This 306-nucleotide ribosomal RNA is filed under the name uncultured bacterium. RNAcentral describes it as "partial 16S ribosomal RNA". It matches the Rfam family "Bacterial small subunit ribosomal RNA", at positions 507 to 807 of the family's 1533-position model. The record is from RNAcentral.
GACAGCAGCAGCCGCGGGAAUACGUAGGGUGCAAGCGUUAAUCGGAAUUACUGGGCGUAAAGCGUGCGCAGGCGGUUUUGUAAGACAGAGGUGAAAUCCCCGGGCUCAACCUGGGAACUGCCUUUGUGACUGCAAGGCUAGAGUACGGCAGAGGGGGAUGGAAUUCCGCGUGUAGCAGUGAAAUGCGUAGAUAUGCGGAGGAACACCGAUGGCGAAGGCAAUCCCCUGGGCCUGUACUGACGCUCAUGCACGAAAGCGUGGGGAGCAAACAGGAUUAGAUACCCCGGUAGUCCCUGUCUCUUAUAC